RNAcentral lists this ribosomal RNA (279 nucleotides) under uncultured bacterium. RNAcentral's name for it is "partial 16S ribosomal RNA". It matches the Rfam family "Bacterial small subunit ribosomal RNA", at positions 506 to 784 of the family's 1533-position model. The record is from RNAcentral.
UGCCAGCAGCCGCGGUAAUACGAAGGGGGCUAGCGUUGUUCGGAAUUACUGGGCGUAAAGCGCACGUAGGCGGACUAUUAAGUCAGGGGUGAAAUCCCGGGGCUCAACCCCGGAACUGCCUCUGAUACUGGUAGUCUUGAGUUCGAGAGAGGUGAGUGGAAUUCCGAGUGUAGAGGUGAAAUUCGUAGAUAUUGGGAAGAACACCGGUGGCGAAGGCGGCUACCUGGACCGGACCUGACGCUGAGACGCGAAAGCGUGGGGAGCAAACAGGAUUAGAUA